UUAAGUCGACCCGCCUGGGGAGUACGGCCGCCAAGGUUAAAACUCCAAAUGAAUUGACGGGGGCCCGCACAAGCGGUGGAGCAUGUGGUUUAAUUCGAUGCAACGGGAAGACCCUUACCUACUCUUGACAUCCAGAGAAUUUAGCAGAGAUGCUUUAGUCCCUUCGGGAACUUUGAGACAGGUGCUGCAUGGCUGUCGUCAGCUCGUGUUGUGAAAUGUUGGGUUAAGUCCCGCAACGAGCGCAACCCUUAUCCUUUGUUGCCAGCGGGUAAUGGGGGGAACUCAAAGGAGACUCCCGGUGAUAAACCGGAGGAAGGUGGGGAUGACGUCAAGUCAUCAUGGCCCUUACGAGUAGGGCUACCCACGUGCUACAAUGGCAUAUACAAAGAGAAGCGAACUCGCGAGAGCAAGCGGCCCUCAUAAAGUAUGUCGUAGUCCGGAUUGGAGUCUGCAACUCGACUCCAUGAAGUCGGAAUCGCUUGUUAUUGUAGAUCAGAAUGCUACGGUGAAUACGUUCCCGGGCCUUGU
Molecule: ribosomal RNA, 528 nt
Filed under: Hafnia alvei
Lineage: Bacteria; Pseudomonadati; Pseudomonadota; Gammaproteobacteria; Enterobacterales; Hafniaceae
Description: bacterial SSU rRNA
Rfam family: Bacterial small subunit ribosomal RNA
Source: RNAcentral